Molecule: transfer RNA, 75 nt
Filed under: Niastella vici
Lineage: Bacteria; Pseudomonadati; Bacteroidota; Chitinophagia; Chitinophagales; Chitinophagaceae
Rfam family: tRNA
About the family: Transfer RNA (tRNA) molecules are approximately 80 nucleotides in length. Their secondary structure includes four short double-helical elements and three loops (D, anti-codon, and T loops).
Source: Rfam by way of RNAcentral
UGGCCCGUAGCUUAGUUGGCAAAAAGUACCCGGCUUUUACCCGGGGGAUCAUGAGUUCGAGUCUCAUCGGGCCAA